RNAcentral lists this long non-coding RNA (779 nucleotides) under Musa acuminata (dwarf banana). RNAcentral's name for it is "long non-coding RNA (MACU_LNC003973)". The record is from RNAcentral. Lineage: Eukaryota; Viridiplantae; Streptophyta; Magnoliopsida; Zingiberales; Musaceae.
GCUCGGCGGCCUCUCCUUCCUCCUCCUCCCCCUGCUCUUCGUCGUCUCCCAUGCAGCCACCUUCGACAUCGUCAACCAAUGCUCCUUCACUGUCUGGGCCGCCGCCGUCCCCGGGGGCGGCCGCCAGCUCGACCCGAGCCAGACCUGGUCCAUCAACGUCAAUCCCGGCACCACAGGCGGCCGCGUCUGGGCCCGCACCGACUGCUCCUUCGAUGGAAGCGGCAGCGGUAGCUGCCAGACAGGCGACUGCGGCGGCCUCCUGGAGUGCCAAGGCUACGGCACGCCGCCCAAUACGCUGGCCGAGUUCGCCCUCAACCAGUUCCAGAACAUGGACUUCAUCGACAUCUCCCUCGUCGACGGCUUCAACGUGCCCAUGGACUUCAGCCCCACCUCGGGGGACUGCCGGGGCAUACGGUGCUCCGCCGACAUCAACGGGCAGUGCCCCGCGGAGCUGAGGGCGCCGGGCGGCUGCAACAACCCUUGCACCGUGUUCAAAACUGAUGAGUACUGCUGCACCUCCGGCAGCUGCGGGCCGACAAACUACUCCAUGUUCUUCAAGAACAACUGCCCCGAUGCUUACAGCUACCCCAAGGACGACGCAACCAGCACCUUCACCUGCCCCGGUGGGACUAAUUACAGGGUUGUCUUCUGCCCUUAAUUAUCACGUGGGAGGAGAAGGAGGUGACGGCGGACGUACAAAGAAUCUACUCGUAGAUAAAAGAAUAAUAAGCCAAUUACCCAGUAAUAACAACGAAUAAGAGGGUGUCUGUAUUGACAUC